Molecule: ribosomal RNA, 413 nt
Filed under: uncultured Glomus
Lineage: Eukaryota; Fungi; Glomeromycota; Glomeromycetes; Glomerales; Glomeraceae
Description: SSU rRNA
Rfam family: Eukaryotic small subunit ribosomal RNA
Source: RNAcentral
UUGGAAUGAGAACAAUUUAAAUCUCUUAACGAGGAACAAUUGGAGGGCAAGUCUGGUGCCAGCAGCCGCGGUAAUUCCAGCUCCAAUAGCGUAUAUUAAAGUUGUUGCAGUUAAAAAGCUCGUAGUUGAAUUUCGGGAUCAAUAUUUCGGUCAUGCCGUUGGUAUGCACUGUUAUCAUUGAUUUCUCACCUUCUAAAGAACCGUAAUGCCAUUAAUUUGGUGUUACGGGGAAUUAGGACUGUUACCUUGAAAAAAUUAGAGUGUUUAAAGCAGGCUCACGCUUGAAUACAUUAGCAUGGAAUAAUGAAAUAGGACAUCCGAUUCUAUUUUGUUGGUUUCUAGGAUCGAUGUAAUGAUUAAUAGGGAUAGUUGGGGGCAUUAGUAUUCAAUUGUCAGAGGUGAAAUUCUUGGAU